This 228-nucleotide ribosomal RNA is filed under the name uncultured bacterium. RNAcentral's name for it is "partial 16S ribosomal RNA". It matches the Rfam family "Bacterial small subunit ribosomal RNA", at positions 118 to 348 of the family's 1533-position model. The record is from RNAcentral.
UGAGCAAUCUGCCCUUCUCAUCGGAAUAAGCGUUGGAAACGACGUCUAAUGCCGAAUACGACCUCCUUUCGCAUGAUCGGAGGUGGAAAGCUCCGGCGGUGAAGGAUGAGCUCGCGGCUUAUCAGCUUGUUGGUGAGGUAAUAGCUCACCAAGGCGAUGACGGGUAGCCGGCCUGAGAGGGUGACCGGCCACACUGGGACUGAGACGCGGCCCAGACUCUACGGGAGG